AGAGUUUGAUCCUGGCUCAGGAUGAACGCUGGCGGCGUGCCUAACACAUGCAAGUCGAGCGAGAAACUGACAGAUGAAACUUCGGUAGAUUCAGUCGGUGGACAGCGGCGGACGGGUGAGUAACGCGUGGGCAACCUGCCCUUCACUGGGAGAUAGCCGCGGGAAACUGCGAGUAAUAUCCCAUAAUGCAGCAUAUCUACAUGGAUAAGCUGCCAAAGAUUCAUCGGUGAAGGAUGGGCCCGCGUCUGAUUAGCUAGUUGGUAAGGUAGCGGCUUACCAAGGCGACGAUCAGUAGCCGGCCUGAGAGGGCGGACGGCCACAUUGGAACUGAGACACGGUCCAGACUCCUACGGGAGGCAGCAGUGGGGAAUAUUGCACAAUGGGCGAAAGCCUGAUGCAGCGACGCCGCGUGAGGGAAGAAGGCCUUCGGGUCGUAAACCUCUGUCCAAGGGGAAGAAAAAAAUGACGGUACCCUUGGAGGAAGCCCCGGCUAACUACGUGCCAGCAGCCGCGGUAAUACGUAGGGGGCAAGCGUUAUCCGGAAUUACUGGGCGUAAAGAGUGCGUAGGUGGCUGCUCAAGCGCGGGGUUUAAGACAACGGCCCAACCGUUGUCCGCCCCGCGAACUGGGUAGCUUGAGUACAGGAGAGGAAGGCGGAAUUCCUAGUGUAGCGGUGAAAUGCGUAGAUAUUAGGAGGAACACCGGUGGCGAAGGCGGCCUUCUGGACUGUCACUGACACUGAGGCACGAAAGCGUGGGUAGCAAACAGGAUUAGAUACCCUGGUAGUCCACGCCGUAAACGAUGAGCACUAGGUGUCGGGUACGUGAGUAUUCGGUGCCGCAGCUAACGCAUUAAGUGCUCCGCCUGGGGAGUACGCACGCAAGUGUGAAACUCAAAGGAAUUGACGGGGACCCGCACAAGCAGCGGAGCAUGUGGUUUAAUUCGAAGCAACGCGAAGAACCUUACCAGGGCUUGACAUCCCUCUGACAGAUCGGGUAACGCUGAUCUUCUCUUCGGAGCAGAGGUGACAGGUGGUGCAUGGUUGUCGUCAGCUCGUGUCGUGAGAUGUUGGGUCAAGUCCCGCAACGAGCGCAACCCCUACUGUCAGUUGCCAUCAUUAAGUUGGGCACUCUGACGGGACUGCCGGGGAUAACCCGGAGGAAGGCGGGGAUGACGUCAAAUCAUCAUGCCCCUUAUGUCCUGGGCGACACACGUGCUACAAUGGCCAGCACAGAGGGAAGCCAAGGAGCGAUCCGGAGCAAAACCCCAAAGCUGGCCCCAGUUCGGACUGCAGGCUGAAACCCGCCUGCACGAAGCCGGAGUUGCUAGUAAUCGCGGAUCAGAAUGCCGCGGUGAAUGCGUUCCCGGGUCUUGUACACACCGCCCGUCACACCAUGGAAGCCGGGGGUGCCCGAAGUCGGUCGUCAAACAGACUGCCUAAGGCAAAACCGGUGACUGGGGUGAAGUCGUAACAAGGUAACCGU
RNAcentral lists this ribosomal RNA (1484 nucleotides) under uncultured bacterium. RNAcentral's name for it is "bacterial SSU rRNA". It matches the Rfam family "Bacterial small subunit ribosomal RNA". The record is from RNAcentral.